GAUGAACGCUGGCUACAGGCUUAACACAUGCAAGUCGAGGGGAAACGACGGGGAAGCUUGCUUCCCCGGGCGUCGACCGGCACACGGGUGAGUAACGCGUAUCCAACCUGCCUCUGACUGAGGGAUAACCCGUCGAAAGUCGGCCUAAUACCUCAUGGCAUCGUCUGCGGGCAUCCAACGACGAUUAAAGAUUUCAUCGGUCAGGGAUGGGGAUGCGUCUGAUUAGCUAGUUGGCGGGGUAACGGCCCACCAAGGCGACGAUCAGUAGGGGUUCUGAGAGGAAGGUCCCCCACAUUGGAACUGAGACACGGUCCAAACUCCUACGGGAGGCAGCAGUGAGGAAUAUUGGUCAAUGGGCGAGAGCCUGAACCAGCCAAGUAGCGUGCAGGAUGACGGCCCUAUGGGUUGUAAACUGCUUUUAUGCGGGGAUAAAGUGAGGGACGUGUCCUUCAUUGCAGGUACCGCAUGAAUAAGGACCGGCUAAUUCCGUG
Molecule: ribosomal RNA, 491 nt
Filed under: uncultured bacterium
Lineage: Bacteria
Description: partial 16S ribosomal RNA
Rfam family: Bacterial small subunit ribosomal RNA
Source: RNAcentral